This is a long non-coding RNA of Ipomoea nil (Japanese morning glory), 776 nucleotides long. RefSeq lists it as uncharacterized. The record is from RefSeq and is a predicted model, not a curated record. Lineage: Eukaryota; Viridiplantae; Streptophyta; Magnoliopsida; Solanales; Convolvulaceae. The transcript is spliced from 5 exons.
GUCUAAGCUCCAUCGCACAAUCAAACGCUUACGCACGCCGUCACAGCCGCCUCCGCUGCUAGGAAAGCCUCCCCGUCGUCUUUGCUCCCACCACCGGAGUCGCCGUUUGCUCUCCGGCCUCUGUAGUUGAAGUUCGACGGCCUGUUCUCCGAAGCUGUCGCACACUCGCACUGAACUACUGAAGGUCGAAACCCUGGUCCUAAACCCUUGAGUCGCCGUCUGCUUUCCGGCCUCCGCAGCAGAAGUCCGUUGCCCUGUUCUACGAAGCCGUCGCACUGAACUACUGAAGGCCGAAGCCGUCGCUCUGAGUGGCCGUCUGCUCUCCGGCCUCCGCAACCACAACCUGCACAACGGCUAACUAUUGUGCUAAUGAAAGAGGACAUUGCCAGACAUAGAGAAGAGCAAAUGCAAGUAGUACUGCUAUGUUGGAGGCACUGAGAUUCAUUGAGACAGCAAGAGCUAGGAUUGAGAAAGCUAGGGACAGCUGCUUGACUUUUGAUCAUUAGCAACUCUCAGAGCUCUUCUUGGCGAGAACACGAAACAGUGGUGGAGAAGUGUAGAAAGUUUUGCAGAACUUACAUUCAUCUAUACCAUCAAGAAAGUAUACCCAUCAUCUACACUUGAUCAAAGUCAUUGAAGUAGAAGGCUGUGGAUGCUGCAUUGAUCACAGCCAUAGAAGAAGUGACGAAUUUGAGGGCUUAUUUGGGUGCAUCGAGCAUACUUAAGUAGUAUAUAUUUUUGUUGUAUGGUAUUUAUAGUCUAUUGUUGGAAGUACU